Molecule: ribosomal RNA, 468 nt
Filed under: uncultured bacterium
Lineage: Bacteria
Description: partial 16S ribosomal RNA
Rfam family: Bacterial small subunit ribosomal RNA
Source: RNAcentral
GACGAACGCUGGCGGUGUGCUUAACACAUGCAAGUCGAACGGCAAGGCCCUGCUUUCUUGGGCUUCUCGAUUGGCGAUCGGGUGAGUAACACGUGAGCAACCUGCUCUUGUCUUUGGUAUAACUUCAGGUAACUGGAGUUAAUAUCAUAUCGCAUCUCCUGCUGCAUGGUGGGCGUUGGAUAUUUUCGGCUGUUGGGGUUGGACUCGCGGCUUAUCAGCUUGCUGGUGGGGUAGUGGCUUACCAAGGGCUUGACGGGUAGCCGGCAGGGGAGGGUGACCGGCCACAAUGGGACUGAGAGACGGACCAGACUCCUACGUGGGGCAGUAGUGGGGAGUAUUGCACAGUGGGCGGAAGCGUGAUGAAGAAGCGCCGCGUGCGGGAUGACGGCCUUCGGGUUGUAAACCGCUUUAGCCUGUGACGAAGCGUGAGUGACGGUAAUGGGUAAAGAAGCACCGGCUAACUACGUG